AGUCAACAUGCCCAGGGGACGUGGAUAACCUCGGGAAACUGAGGAUAAACCGCGAUAGGUCAUCACUUCUGGAAUGGGUAAUGACUUAAACCUAUAUGGCCCCUGGAUUGGACUGCGGCCGAUCAGGCUGUUGGUGAGGUAAUGGCCCACCAAACCUGUAACCGGUACGGGCUCUGAGAGGAGGAGCCCGGAGAUGGGCACUGAGACAAGGGCCCAGGCCCUAUGGGGCGCAGCAGGCGCGAAACCUCUGCAAUAGGCGAAAGCUUGACAGGGUUACUCUGGGUGAUUUCCGUUAAGGAGAUCUUUUGGCACCUCUAAAAAUGGUGCAGAAUAAGGGGUGGGCAAGUCUGGUGUCAGCCGCCGCGGUAAUACCAGCACCCCGAGUGGUCGGGACGUUUAUUGGGCCUAAAGCAUCCGUAGCCGGUUCUACAAGUCUUCCGUUAAAUCCACCUGCUUAACAGAUGGGCUGCGGAAGAUACUAUAGAGCUAGGAGGCGGGAGAGGCAAGCGGUACUCGAUGGGUAGGGGUAAAAUCCGUUGAUCCAUUGAAGACCACCAGUGGCGAAGGCGGCUUGCCAGAACGCGCUCGACGGUGAGGGAUGAAAGCUGGGGGAGCAAACCGGAUUAGAUACCCGGGUAGUCCCAGCUGUAAACGAUGCAGACUCGGUGAUGAGUUGGCUUAUUGCUAACUCAGUGCCGCAGGGAAGCCGUUAAGUUUGCCGCCUGGGGAGUACGGUCGCAAGACUGAAACUUAA
RNAcentral lists this ribosomal RNA (754 nucleotides) under uncultured archaeon. RNAcentral's name for it is "bacterial SSU rRNA". It matches the Rfam family "Archaeal small subunit ribosomal RNA", at positions 102 to 859 of the family's 1478-position model. The record is from RNAcentral.